ACAUAUUAGAGCAAGAAACUCCAAUAGUUAAUGGAAAGCAAUACUAUGUGAUAGCUGUGUUAACAAGAACUGCUGAUGGAGAUGAGGGAGGAAAACACCAACUUAUUAGAGCCACUGUAUCAGAUGGAAAACUCUGGAUUUGCAAGGCACAAGCAGGAGACAAGAGAUGGUUCAAAGGUGCCAGGAAAUAUAUCGAGAGCACAGCAGGUUCUUUCAGUGUUGCUUGAGAUGGACUUCUGGAUUUGCUUUGUUUGUAACUCAUCCUUAAAAAAGUGUUGGAUGUAUGGUUGAGUCCUUCAAACUUUUCUACCAGGAGCUUUAGAGCUAUUCAACGCUAAUGUGGAUAAUUCAAGUAUAACUUUGCAUAUAAGAACC
Molecule: long non-coding RNA, 375 nt
Filed under: Coffea arabica (coffee)
Lineage: Eukaryota; Viridiplantae; Streptophyta; Magnoliopsida; Gentianales; Rubiaceae
Description: long non-coding RNA (CARA_LNC003668)
Source: RNAcentral